Molecule: small nucleolar RNA, 131 nt
Organism: Rattus norvegicus (Norway rat)
Lineage: Eukaryota; Metazoa; Chordata; Mammalia; Rodentia; Muridae
Source: Ensembl
CUCCAAAGUGUUGAGUUCAGUUCAGGGCAAUUUCCCUGUUCUGUUAAUUAAACUUUGGGACAUUGAAAUUGGCUGAGGGAAAUAACUGAAUAGAGAAUAUUACUCUAUUCAUAUACUUCUAGCCUACACAA